This 305-nucleotide ribosomal RNA is filed under the name uncultured bacterium. RNAcentral describes it as "bacterial SSU rRNA". It matches the Rfam family "Bacterial small subunit ribosomal RNA", at positions 334 to 653 of the family's 1533-position model. The record is from RNAcentral.
UGGUCCUACGGGGCGCAGCAGUGGGGGAUAUUGGACAAUGGGGGGAACCCUGAUCCAGCGACGCCGCGUGAGUGAAGAAGUAUUUCGGUAUGUAAAGCUCUGUCAGCAGGGAAGAAAGAAAUGGCGGUACCUGACCAAGAAGCCCCGGCUAACUACGUGCCAGCAGCCGCGGUAAUACGUAGGGGGCAAGCGUUAUCCGGAAUUACUGGGUGUAAAGGGUGCGUAGGUGGCAGGGCAAGUCAGAUGUGAAAGCCCGGGGCCCAACCCCGGUACUGCAUUUGAAACUGUCCGGCUGGAGUGCAGGG